Molecule: ribosomal RNA, 388 nt
Filed under: uncultured Glomeromycotina
Lineage: Eukaryota; Fungi; Glomeromycota
Description: SSU rRNA
Rfam family: Eukaryotic small subunit ribosomal RNA
Source: RNAcentral
AGGAGCCAUGAUGUCAUUAAUUUGGUGUCGUGGGGAAUCAGGACUGUUACUUUGAAAAAAUUAGAGUGUUUAAAGCAGGCACGCGCUUGAAUACAUUAGCAUGGAAUAAUGAAAUAGGACGUUCGAUUCUAUUUUGUUGGUUUCUAGGAUCAACGUAAUGAUUAAUAGGGAUAGUUGGGGGCAUUAGUAUUCAAUUGUCAGAGGUGAAAUUCUUGGAUUUAUUGAAGACUAACUACUGCGAAAGCAUUUGCCAAGGAUGUUUUCAUUAAUCAAGAACGAAAGUUAGGGGAUCGAAGACGAUCAGAUACCGUCGUAGUCUUAACCAUAAACUAUGCCGACUAGGGAUCGGAUGAUGUUAAUUUUUUAAAGACUCAUUCGGCGCCUUACG